RNAcentral lists this ribosomal RNA (277 nucleotides) under uncultured bacterium. RNAcentral describes it as "partial 16S ribosomal RNA". It matches the Rfam family "Bacterial small subunit ribosomal RNA", at positions 29 to 333 of the family's 1533-position model. The record is from RNAcentral.
AGCGAACGCUGGCGGCAUGCUUAACACAUGCAAGUCUCACGGGCAGCAAUGUCAGUGGCGGACGGGUGAGUAACGCGUAGGUAUCUAUCCUGAGGUGGGGGAUAACCGUGGGAAACUACGGCUAAUACCGCAUGAUGACUGAGGUCCAAAGGCGCGAGUCGCCAUGGGAGGAGCCUGCGUACGAUUAGCUAGUUGGUGGGGUAAAGGCCUACCAAGGCGACGAUCGUUAGCUGGUCUGAGAGGAUGAUCAGCCACACUGGGACUGAGACACGGCCCA